RNAcentral lists this ribosomal RNA (645 nucleotides) under Triticum aestivum (bread wheat). RNAcentral's name for it is "partial small subunit ribosomal RNA". The record is from RNAcentral. Lineage: Eukaryota; Viridiplantae; Streptophyta; Magnoliopsida; Poales; Poaceae.
CCGUCCCAAUUCGUCCGUCCGUCCAUUCGUCGAAAGGGAUUAGCCCCGGCUCCACGCCAGCGCGCACCGGCACCGCCGAUCCAGCCGCGCCGCUGCCGCUGCCGCCGGCGCCCUCGACCGGAGGCCUCGGAAGGAGAGCAGCCGCGCCAGGAGGGAGAAGAUCCAGGCGCGCCCCGGCGUAAUCCUGCCGUGCAAGGCUCUUCCUGCCGAGACGAAUCGUGCGUACCUGCGCCGCGCCGGCGAACCAUGUCGUCGUCCGCGCUGAGGGCCGCGGGGCAGAGGGCGGGGGCGGCCGCCCGGAAGCAGGCGCUCACCCUGACGGAGGCCGCGGCGGCCAGGGUGCGCCACCUCCUCGACCUCAGGCAGCGGCCCUACCUGCGCCUUGGCGUCAAGGCGCGCGGCUGCAACGGCCUGUCCUACACGCUGAAUUACGCCGAAAAAGGGAAGUUUGAUGAGCUUGUUGAAGAGAAAGGUGUAAAAGUACUGAUUGACCCCAAGGCCCUGAUGCAUGUGAUCGGCACCAAGAUGGACUUCGUUGACGAUCCACUGAGGUCAGAGUUUGUGUUCAUCAACCCGAACUCGAAAGGGGAGUGUGGAUGCGGUGAAUCUUUCAUGACUACGGGCAGCAAAGGAUCUACGUCAUGA